RNAcentral lists this ribosomal RNA (292 nucleotides) under uncultured bacterium. RNAcentral's name for it is "partial 16S ribosomal RNA". It matches the Rfam family "Bacterial small subunit ribosomal RNA", at positions 505 to 796 of the family's 1533-position model. The record is from RNAcentral.
GUGUCAGCAGCCGCGGUAAGACAGAGGGUGCAAACGUUGCUCGGAAUUACUGGGCGUAAAGCGCGUGUAGGCGGGCUGGCGUGUCGGAUGUGAAAUCCCUGGGCUCAACCCAGGAACUGCAUUCGAAACUACCAGUCUAGAGUGGUGGAGAGGGAAGUGGAAUUCCUGGUGUAGAGGUGAAAUUCGUAGAUAUCAGGAGGAACACCAGUGGCGAAGGCGGCUUCCUGGACACCUACUGACGCUGAGACGCGAAAGCGUGGGGAGCAAACAGGAUUAGAAACCCUUGUAGUCC